UAUUAGUAGGAUGAAUAAAUACUGGUAAGUAUUUUGAUGUCCUGCCAGUGGGGCAGUUAAAUAUGAUAAUUAUUUUGAUACCCUAUCAGUGGGGAUUAUGUACUAGUAUUUUGAUACCCUACCAGUGGAGCGGUUAAAUGCUGGUGAUUAUUUUGAUAUCUUGUUAGUGGGGGUCAUACGUUGGUACUUUGAUUUAGUUUAUGAUCGUCGAGAUACGCACAGUAUUUUGAAAAAAAAUUGAAUUAUGAAUGAAAAUAAAUUUGAAAAUAAAUUUUUAAAAGACUGAAUUUGCAUGGAUCUAUUAAUAUUGUAUAUUUUGAAUUGAUAUACCUUGCAUGCUUAUUUUUAGUAUAUUAUUAUUAUUGAAUUUAUCUAGCUAAAAUGUAUAUUACUUACUAGGCCGUGUAGCUCAUUAUUAUAUUUUACUAUUUUUAUAGAUUAAGAGAUCUAGUUUGAUUUGGAGAUUCGAUGUUGUAGAAUGAACUAGAGACAGACUCUGAUAUUUUAUUUUAGAUUAAGAUUUAUUAAAAAUUAAUAGAAGACCAUGAAACUUUAUUUUAUAAGAUAUUUGAUUUAGUUAUUUGAAAUAAAGUUGAACAUUAAUUAUUUAAAUUUUAUUCUAUUAUUAUUUUAUGAUAUCAUGAUGAGAUAUCUUGCAUAUUUGUGGGAAGAUUUCUCUAUAGGUAUGUGAUGGUUGUCGUGAUCUUCGGCUCGUGAUCUCGGAUCGGGGGUAUGAUAGUAUAAAGAAUAGAUUGAAAGAAGGAUGGAUGAGGUAGAGGACGGAUGGAUCUUUUAUUUAUCUUUUCAUAUAUUUGAUGAAAUAUAAAAUAAUGGAUAGAAAUGAUUUUCUCCUCUAUUUGGUAUAGGAGGAAUGAAAGGAA
RNAcentral lists this long non-coding RNA (881 nucleotides) under Elaeis guineensis (African oil palm). RNAcentral describes it as "long non-coding RNA (EGUI_LNC036151)". The record is from RNAcentral. Lineage: Eukaryota; Viridiplantae; Streptophyta; Magnoliopsida; Arecales; Arecaceae.